Salvelinus fontinalis (brook trout) is the source of this 2103-nucleotide long non-coding RNA. RefSeq lists it as uncharacterized. The transcript is spliced from 2 exons. The record is from RefSeq and is a predicted model, not a curated record. NCBI's taxonomy places the organism in Eukaryota, Metazoa, Chordata, Actinopteri, Salmoniformes, Salmonidae.
GUUUAUGUGUCGGGGGGCUAGGGUCAGUUGGUUAUACCUGGAAUACUUCUCCUGCCUUAUCCAGUGUCCUGUGUGAAUUUAAGACCUGAGCCCUAGGACCAUACGUCGGGACUACCGGCCGUGGUGACUCCUUGCUGCCCCCAGUCCGCCUGGCCUUGCUGCUAUUCCAGUUUCAACUCUUCUGCCUGCGGUUAUGGAACCCCUACCUGUCCCAGACCUGCUGUUUUCAACUCUUAAUGAUCGGCUAUGAAAAGCCAACUGAGAUUUAUUCAUGAUUAUUAUUUGACCAUGCUUGUCACUUAUGAACAUUUUUGAACAUCUUGGCAUAGUUCUGUUAUAAUCUCCACCCGGCACAGCCAGAAGAGGACUGGCCACCCCUCAUAGCCUGGUUCCUCUCUAGGUUUCUUCCUAGGUUUUGGCCUUUCUAGGGAGUUUUUCCUAGCCACCGUGCUUCUACACCUGCAUUCUAGCUGUUUGGGGUUUUAGGCUGGGUUUCUGUACAGCACUUCGAGAUAUUAUCUGAUGUACGAAGGGCUAUAUAAAAUAAAAUUGAUUGAUUGAUAUAUUGAGAUUCUUCAAAGUAGCCACCCUUUGCCUUUACAGCUUUGUACACUCCUAGCAUUCUCUCAGCCAGAUUCGUGAGGUGGUCACCUGGAAUGCAUUUCAAUUAACUCAACAUUUAUUUGACACAUGCUAAUUUUAGUGUGUAGCAAUGCUAGUUCCGACAGUGUAGUAUUGUCUAUCAAUUCCCCAACUACCUAAUACACAUAUCUAAAGGUGUGAAUAUGUACAUAUAAGUAUAUGGCCGAGAACAUAGACAAGGUGUAAAAUACAUGUGAUAAAAGUAAUGUAAACAGAGGCAUUAUUUAGUGUGACAUUGUUUAAAGUGGCCAGUGUUUGGGUCUCAAUGUAGGCAGCAGCCUCUGAGUUAGUGAUUGCUGUUGAGCAGUCUGAUGGCCUUGCAAUAGAAGCUGUUUUUCAGUCUCUCGGUCCAAGCUUUGAUGCACCUAUACUGACCUUGCCUUCUGGAUGGUAGCUGUGUGAACAGGCAGUGGCUCGGGUGGUUGAUGUCCUUGAUCUUUUUGGCCUUCCUGUGACAUCGGGUGCUGUAGGUAUCAUGGAGGAUAGGUAGUUUGCCCCCGGUGAUGCGUUGUGCAGACCGCAUCACCCUGUGGAUAGCCUUGCGGUUGAGGGCGGUGCAGUUGCCGUACCAGGCUGUGAUACAGCCCGACAGGAUGCUCUCGAUGGUGCGUGACGUUGGUGUACGUUUAUCAUAUUUUUACAGGGACAGUGCACAUUAAUCAACGUUUCAGUAAAAGUUACGGUUUUAGCCAGCUGGCUAAUUUUCAACCGCAGUCCCUGGGCAGGUUAUUAAAAACAAUUUCAAUAUAGAAAAUCAUUGAGCAGUGAGCACACGCAGAGCAACAUAGGGCAAGACAUAGCAUACAGACAGAGCAACAUAGGAUAAGCAAGAUGUAGCAUUCAGACAGCAGCAACAGAACAAAAAAGCAGCAAGACAAAAUUCAUAAAAGCAAAAAAUUGUUUCCACACCUCACAAGCUACAGACAACAUGGAACGCGACAAUACACAGCUAGGGAUCAUACUUACGUCAGCAGGGUCGCCCGAUUUAAAGAUGGCCGUUAUCAUGGCCGACUUCCAUACUCUUGGAACCACCCCCAGACCAAUAGAUGUGUUUGUGACCUUACUAAUGGGGCCAAUGAGUGACUCUGUCGUUUUUAAGAAAGGUAGAGUCCAGCCCAAACACAUCUUUGGCUUUAGAGUUCUUUAGUGAGCUAAUCACCUUGUUCACCUUUGACUCAGAAACCUCCCUUAUGAUGAAGACAGGUUCAGCGUCAUUCACUAGCAGUGAGCCCAAGAAACCAGUGGAGGGGUUUCGUGUCAGUACCCUGACAGAGUCAAAGUAGGAAUUGAAGGCUAUUGCUAUUUUGACUGCAUCCUGUGUUAGAUCGUUAUUCACCAUGAUUUCUAGUCUUUUUGCAGUGUUACUAUGGUCUUUCCCUGUUAACUCUUUUGGAUUCUCCCAGAUCAAUUUAGAAUUUACCUUUGCUUCACCAAUUAUGUUAAUAAAAAAAGUUUGCCUUG